Molecule: ribosomal RNA, 578 nt
Filed under: uncultured Stenotrophomonas sp.
Lineage: Bacteria; Pseudomonadati; Pseudomonadota; Gammaproteobacteria; Lysobacterales; Lysobacteraceae
Description: bacterial SSU rRNA
Rfam family: Bacterial small subunit ribosomal RNA
Source: RNAcentral
ACGGGUGAGGAAUACAUCGGAAUCUACUCUGUCGUGGGGGAUAACGUAGGGAAACUUACGCUAAUACCGCAUACGACCUACGGGUGAAAGCAGGGGAUCUUCGGACCUUGCGCGAUUGAAUGAGCCGAUGUCGGAUUAGCUAGUUGGCGGGGUAAAGGCCCACCAAGGCGACGAUCCGUAGCUGGUCUGAGAGGAUGAUCAGCCACACUGGAACUGAGACACGGUCCAGACUCCUACGGGAGGCAGCAGUGGGGAAUGUUGGACAAUGGGCGCAAGCCUGAUCCAGCCAUACCGCGUGGGUGAAGAAGGCCUUCGGGUUGUAAAGCCCUUUUGUUGGGAAAGAAAUCCAGCUGGCUAAUACCCGGUUGGGAUGACGGUACCCAAAGAAUAAGCACCGGCUAACUUCGUGCCAGCAGCCGCGGUAAUACGAAGGGUGCAAGCGUUACUCGGAAUUACUGGGCGUAAAGCGUGCGUAGGUGGUCGUUUAAGUCCGUUGUGAAAGCCCUGGGCUCAACCUGGGAACUGCAGUGGAUACUGGGCGACUAGAGUGUGGUAGAGGGUAGCGGAAUUCCUGGUGU